Numida meleagris (helmeted guineafowl) is the source of this 2970-nucleotide long non-coding RNA. RefSeq lists it as uncharacterized. The transcript is spliced from 4 exons. Lineage: Eukaryota; Metazoa; Chordata; Aves; Galliformes; Numididae. The record is from RefSeq and is a predicted model, not a curated record.
CCGGCCGCUGACGCGCGGGAGGGCGGGCACGAGGCGACGGCCGCGGCCGUUGGGCGCCUUCGGUGGGGCGGGUUCCGUGAGGGGAGCGUCCCGCGGGGCAGGGCGCCGGCUGACAGCGGCGACGUUGGCCGCGUCCCGGAGCCUGCAGGUGGUUGCAUCCCGCUGGCGAGCGCGCUGCUCACGCUGGGAGGUGUGCGUCCGCUUACUGUGUCCGUUUGCUGUAGCAAUUAAGUGCUGAGCGAGCGAUCCUCCGCCCUCCUCUCAGCCUGUCGCUGUGUUACUCCGACCCACGGCCCCCUGCCCUGCCUCCCGGAGAGGAAACACCUCUUGCAACACGCAGUCGGCUUAAUCAUCUCCGGUUAUCCCGCUGCAUUAUGUACGGGUCCGAAUUAACCGGCUUCCAAACUUGAGGAAAUUCCUGAUGCAAAAGACAUAGCGCUUAUUUCAGCGCUAGUAAUCAGAUCCAGAUUUGAAAGUCAGCACUGCAUGGUUGAAGUUUUGGAUGCAGUCAUUAUUCCAGCAGUGUCCAGCCCAAGCUGCUGAGUUAAACAAAGACAGGAGGGAAGAUGGGAUGGAAGCUGAAAUUUCAAGUGAAGUUGAGGUCAGAGUUUUGAGGAGAUGGAGAGAUUUUGAAUUUCUUCCGUGUAGAUGAACUCACAGCAUUCCUGCGAUCUCGCAUUUGAGGGACCUGCGCUUGACUUUCAACAGCCAAACGAAAAUUUGGAUUACUAGAAAACACGCACAACUCAAGAAACCAGUAGCACGUGGAUUACUGCUCGAAACCCGGUCCCUUGGCAGUCCUUGGCCAGGCAGCCAAGGCCUGGAGUCCCCACCAGCAGCUGGCAGUGCCCUCUGUAGUUAAGAGCAGGCUGUGCUCUGAGCAGUGGCAUAUGAGUGCAACGCUGUGCCUUCCCCAUGCACCCCUCCUCCACACAAGAUGCACAUUCCACAAAGUUUGGUGUUUCAAAGACCAGCAAGGUUUUUUUAUGAUAAAAGCUUGAGCCCAAUAAAAGGCACAUAUUAUGUGCUUCAGCUUUACUGCCCAUUUACAUUCUAGGCUGUAACAGCGUGUGCUAAGGACUAUAGUACUUUCCUGCUCCCAGCUGGUGGCAUGCCCCAUUCCCACACCAAAACGUCACCCACCAGCGUGCCAUCUCCCUGAACUCUUUGGUUUCUACAGCAAGGAAACUCAAACACUCAGCCAGCACAGAAGACAGCCAGAUAUGCUCCCACGUCCUCCACUUACAGGAUCAGAGCAUGUAAAGAUUUUAUCAGCUGUUUGCUUGGAGCCUUGAAGCAUUUGCCAUAACCUAGAGCACUUGCCUGCUUGUCAAACGAAUUCACACAGGCACCUAAGAAGUCUCUUGCAAACAGCGCUGAAGGAGGAGAGAGACUACAGGUGCUGCAGAAGUAAAUCUCCUGGGAUAAGUCAUUUAACACCUGUGUAGUAUAAAAAUUUGGUCCGUAAGAGAAAAGCACUUACAGCACCUCAAAUGUUUUUUUGUUGGUGGUGCAUUGCUCAGUGCUGAGCGCAAUUCAGCUUUUUAUUUUGGGAGCAUGUUUUCCUCAUUCUUGAGAGAUCAUAACGUAAACAGAUUUGCUACUGCCCCACUAGCUUUCACCUACAGAACUUGGUGUCCUUGUUUAUUUUUAAAUAAUGGUUUGACCCUUAACAAAUAGGCUCUUGCACUUUUCACCAUCUUCUUAAAGAUCAGAUGUUGAAGCACAUAGCAUAAAGAGUAGGAACGUAAGCCUCACAGACGUACCUGGUUUCUUCUGUUCUUCAGAAAUUGCUGGCACUGCUCAUUAAAAACCAGGCAAUAUAUUAGCCUUUGAUAAAACAACUGGCUGAUACUGACCUAAGAUAAAAAUGAUGCCACAAAAUAUUCGGGCACGAUGGACUAUUCAUACAACAGGAGGUCGCAGGACCUAGCCCAGAACCUAAAAUUAGGCAAAUUGACACCGCUGUUAGAGGCUUCAGGCUAGCCACGGCAGCAUGUCCCCCAAAUCCUCAAAGAGAUCAAGCAGUCUUCCAUGGGGGAGUGGAAUUUGCAUUCAAAUCGUUCCCUCACAAUGGAUAUUCAUUAUAAGGCUUUACUUUCUAGAUCUUUUCUCUCCUAUAGAGGAGGAUGACUGCUUAGGACCCUCACCCUUCAAGGGGAGCAUUCUUCACGAUUUUAAUCUCCAUAUUGUGAUGUAAUGCCACAGUUCCACACUACACUUGGACAUAUUUUUAAGGAGAUGUGGCUUACUCUUAGUUCGAAGACAUGUGACCUCAAAUCAUAUGUGAAAGCCUCAUUUAAUAGUAGAUAUAUAAUCUGUGCUGUGACAGCAACUCACUGACUACUUCUUUUCUGUUCCUGGAAUGAAGAAGAACAAUGUUGGUCAGAGUCUGGAAGCUUUGCAUAUUCAUACUUCUCACAGUUGUUAAAUGUUUGAAAAUUCAGGUAAUGAGCAGACAAUACUCCUGCUGCCUUUGUACUGCUUUGGGGUUUGCCAUUCUCGUAAUAUCUCUACAGAAACCAUUCUAUCAAGUCAGGGUUUUUUUUUCCUCUCAAAUUGAAUUAACACUUGUACAUUGAAGUUUUCAACAUCACCCAUAAGAUUUUUCGACUUGUCAAAAGAAUCUGCAUGGUCUCUAACCAUGAAUAAAUAUGAUUUCAGAUAUCAUCUUUAUUUCAAGUUUUAUUUCUUGGGAUUAAUUUAAUUGAUUGUGCUGAUGGCUUGUUAAGCAGCUGCUGAAAUAAGCAGAGCUUUCUGUUUACUUACUUACUUUCUGUGUAAACAUAUGGGUACCUGAUUUAAUUAUAGUUCAUGCUAGUGCUGGGAGGGGGAAAAAAACACAAAACAGAAAAGGACACCUUCUGUUUUCCAGAGUGACAUCAUAGAUCUGUAAGGAUUUUCUCAUAACAACAAUUUUUUCUCCUUUUCCUCUAGCUGAUUUUAAUAAUUCUUUUAUCAUAUCCUCAU